GUAGAUCAACGCUGGCGGCGUGCCUAACACAUGCAAGUCGAACGAGAAAGGGACUUCGGUCCUGAGUAAAGUGGCGCACGGGUGAGUAACACGUGACUAACCUACCCUUGAGUGGGGAAUAACUAGGAGAAAUCUUAGCUAAUACCGCAUAAUACCUACGGGUCAAAGGAGCAAUUCGCUUAAGGAGGGGGUCGCGGCAGAUUAGUUAGUUGGCGGGGUAAUGGCCCACCAAGACAGUGAUCUGUAUCCGGCCUGAGAGGGCGCACGGACACACUGGAACUGAAACACGGUCCAGACUCCUACGGGAGGCAGCAGUGGGGAAUUUUGCGCAAUGGGGGAAACCCUGACGCAGCAACGCCGCGUGGAGGAUGAAGUCUCUUGGGACGUAAACUCCUUUCGAUCGGGACGAUAAUGACGGUACCGAGAGAAGAAGCCCCGGCUAACUUCGUGCCAGCAGCCGCGGUAAUACGAGGGGGGCGAGCGUUGUUCGGAAUUAUUGGGCGUAAAGGGUGCGUAGGCGGUUCGGUAAGUCUUGUGUGAAAUCUUCAGGCUCAACUUGAAGUCUGCACGAGAAACUGCCGGGCUUGAGUAUGGGAGAGGUGAGUGGAAUUUCCGGUGUAGCGGUGAAAUGCGUAGAUAUCGGAAGGAACACCUGUGGCGAAAGCGGCUCACUGGACCAUAACUGACGCUGAGGCACGAAAGCUAGGGGAGCAAACAGGAUUAGAUACCCUGGUAGUCCUAGCCCUAAACGAUGAUCGCUUGGUGUGGCGGGUACCCAAUCCCGUCGUGCCGAAGCUAACGCGUAAGCGAUCCGCCUGG
Molecule: ribosomal RNA, 819 nt
Filed under: Acidipila sp.
Lineage: Bacteria; Pseudomonadati; Acidobacteriota; Terriglobia; Terriglobales; Acidobacteriaceae
Description: bacterial SSU rRNA
Rfam family: Bacterial small subunit ribosomal RNA
Source: RNAcentral